AACGAACGCUGGCGGCAUGCCUAACACAUGCAAGUCGAACGAGACCUUCGGGUCUAGUGGCGCACGGGUGCGUAACGCGUGGGAAUCUGCCCUCUGGUUCGAAACAACAGUUGGAAACGACUGCUAAUACCGGAUAAUGACUUCGGUCCAAAGAUUUAUCGCCUGAGGAUGAGCCCGCGUAGGAUUAGCUUGUUGGUGAGGUAAAAGCUCACCAAGGCGACGAUCCUUAGCUGGUCUGAGAGGAUGAUCAGCCACACUGGGACUGAGACACGGCCCAGACUCCUACGGGAGGCAGCAGUGGGGAAUAUUGGACAAUGGGCGAAAGCCUGAUCCAGCAAUGCCGCGUGAGUGAUGAAGGCCUUAGGGUUGUAAAGCUCUUUUACCCGGGAUGAUAAUGACAGUACCGGGAGAAUAAGCCCCGGCUAACUCCGUGCCAGCAGCCGCCGUAA
RNAcentral lists this ribosomal RNA (449 nucleotides) under uncultured bacterium. RNAcentral describes it as "partial 16S ribosomal RNA". It matches the Rfam family "Bacterial small subunit ribosomal RNA", at positions 29 to 523 of the family's 1533-position model. The record is from RNAcentral.